CCGUAGCUCAAUGGUAGAGCAGUAAACUUUUAAUUUAUUGGUUCCAGGUUCGAGUCCUGGCGGU
RNAcentral lists this transfer RNA (64 nucleotides) under Bigelowiella longifila. It matches the Rfam family "tRNA", at positions 5 to 66 of the family's 71-position model. Rfam says of the family: Transfer RNA (tRNA) molecules are approximately 80 nucleotides in length. Lineage: Eukaryota; Cercozoa; Chlorarachniophyceae. The record is from RNAcentral.